This 305-nucleotide ribosomal RNA is filed under the name uncultured bacterium. Its description in RNAcentral is "bacterial SSU rRNA". It matches the Rfam family "Bacterial small subunit ribosomal RNA", at positions 334 to 656 of the family's 1533-position model. The record is from RNAcentral.
UUGGCCUACGGGGGCAGCAGUGGGGAAUAUUGCGCAAUGGGGGAAACCCUGACGCAGCAACGCCGCGUGAGUGAGGAAGUAUCUCGGUAUGUAAAGCUCUAUCAGCGGGGAAGAAGGAAGACGGUACCCGACUAAGAAGCCCCGGCUAACUACGUGCCAGCAGCCGCGGUAAUACGUAGGGGGCGAGCGUUAUCCGGAUUUACUGGGUGUAAAGGGAGCGCAGGCGGUGCGGCAAGUCUGAUGUGAAAGCCCGGGGCUCAACCCCGGGACUGCAUUGGAAACUACCGAACUAGAGUGUCGGAGAG